UGGGGAAUAUUGGUCAAUGGGCGAAAGCCUGAACCAGCAAUGCCGCGUGAGUGAUGAAGGCCUUCGGGUUGUAAAGCUCUGUCAGUGGGAACGAAUAAGCCGAUUAAUACUCGGUGGUGACGGUACCCACAAAGGAAGCACCGGCUAACUCUGUGCCAGCAGCCGCGGUAAUACAGAGGGUGCAAGCGUUGUUCGGAAUUACUGGGCGUAAAGCGCGUGUAGGCGGUCUGGUAAGUCGGUCGUGAAAUCCCUAGGCUUAACCUAGGAACUGCGAUCGAAACUGUUAGACUUGAGUAUCGGAGGGGAUGGCGGAAUUCCUGGUGUAGAGGUGAAAUUCGUAGAUAUCAGGAGGAACACCUGUGGCGAAGGCGGCCAUCUGGAAGAUUACUGACGCUGAGACGCGAAAGCGUGGGGAGCAAACAGG
Molecule: ribosomal RNA, 424 nt
Filed under: uncultured bacterium
Lineage: Bacteria
Description: bacterial SSU rRNA
Rfam family: Bacterial small subunit ribosomal RNA
Source: RNAcentral